This 496-nucleotide ribosomal RNA is filed under the name uncultured bacterium. RNAcentral describes it as "bacterial SSU rRNA". It matches the Rfam family "Bacterial small subunit ribosomal RNA", at positions 30 to 527 of the family's 1533-position model. The record is from RNAcentral.
AUUGAACGCUGGCGGCAUGCCUUACACAUGCAAGUCGAACGGUAACAGGUCUUCGGAUGCUGACGAGUGGCGAACGGGUGAGUAAUACAUCGGAACGUGCCCGAUCGUGGGGGAUAACGCAGCGAAAGCUGUGCUAAUACCGCAUACGAUCUACGGAUGAAAGCGGGGGAUCGCAAGACCUCGCGCGGACGGAGCGGCCGAUGGCAGAUUAGGUAGUUGGUGGGAUAAAAGCUUACCAAGCCGACGAUCUGUAGCUGGUCUGAGAGGACGACCAGCCACACUGGGACUGAGACACGGCCCAGACUCCUACGGGAGGCAGCAGUGGGGAAUUUUGGACAAUGGGGGAAACCCUGAUCCAGCCAUGCCGCGUGCAGGAUGAAGGCCUUCGGUUGUAAACUGCUUUGUACGGACGAAAGGUACUUCUAAUAAGAGGCGUCAUGACGGUACCGUAAGAAUAAGCACCGGCUAACUACGUGCCAGCAGCCGCGGUAACACG